CCUUCCCCAAACCUCGCGUUCUUCUUCUCCCCAUCGAGCGUCGCCGCCGCCGUCGCGUCUACGAUCUCUCCCACAGGCACGACUCACUGCCCUCCCCUGGUCGCUGCAACUCGCACCUCACCUCAAUCGCCACCAGCCUCCCCCUCCACUACAUCGCCUCGACCUCCAACGCCCAAUGCUCGCCCUUCGCUAGAUCGGCGCUGCACGAUGUGUGGGAUGCAAGAGUCCGGCUGCAGCUGCGUGGCCACGACAAGGCUCGCACGGCGCGUGUGCAGCAGCUCGCAAACAGCAGUGGCUCGACAGGAGCGGCGAUGGGCUGCAGGGCUGCGGCGAUGGCGGUCGUCCGGCAUAUGGAGCGGCUCUAACAGGCAGGGUGCUGAGCUACAGCUGCUGAGCGCGAGUAGGGCUCGGCAGAGCGCAUAAAUCCAGCGCAUCAUGGCCGGCCCAGCGGGGCAACGAUGUACGAUGUACGCGAAGGUGGUGGUUCAUCGAUGUGCGUACGUAUCCUUACAAGAUCAACGGGAUAGGAUGCUGUGGUAACUUCAUUGAUGCAAAUCUAAAUUUUCAAAACACGUCAACAAAAAUUGUGUGAUACAGCAUGAUGUUCUUCCUGUUCUACAGGUUCAUUCUAAUGAUUCUUAUUUGCGUUCGGUAACAGGAUUGUUCUCUCCAGCUGUUCGAUUUGCACAUGCGACAAUCGAAGUGUGCCUAUGUUUGGCCGGCCCUGGCUGCCCGGUUCACAGAUAUACAGAUGAACAAAAACCAUUCAGGUUCUGCAUCCACCCAUCAGGUUCUCUAUUAUACUGCAGGAGGAAAUCCUUUCUUAAUUCUUAUUGACCCUUCAAGCGGGAGGCUUUUAGAGGCAGCUUUCGUGCUUUUCCCUUUCCGCUGGAACUGCAUGCAGAGUCUGAGUUCAUGGAGUGCCUUUGGCCUUUAGAAAGAAGAAGAAUAAAUGUUUCGCCGUUGAUCUUUCUUAUGUUCCUAGGUGCAUUGUUUUAGGUUAUGCCCUCAUAUGCAGAGAUGGAAAAUCACACAUUUUGCAUCCAGCUUUCAAUGGGAAUAAAUUGAAUUUUGUUUCGAAGCUUGCCGAUGAAUCAAGAAUAUAUCUUCGAAAGCUGCUUGUUUGUUGCAAGAAAAAAGAGAUCUGAUUUAAGCAUCAUUGUACUUCAAAACCUACACAGUAUUUAUUUCUGCAUUCAUUUGAAGAUGAGAAUAUACUGAGUUCAAUUUCGAGUGUCGAUCCAUUGUUUUUCUGCAGGUAAGUAUUAUUUUUUAUUUCCUAAAAAGGAUUUGAAUAUCAUUUGAUCUGUUAUUGAUUGAGGAUCAGCAUCUUGUACAGUAUGAUUUUAUUGUUUCUCCUUUUUUUAGCUCAGUCCUAAAAUGUACACUAUGAUUUUAUGGAGUGCAUUAUGCCAAUGGAUUACUGCAUUUUUAUGUUAGUUUUUAGACUAUUUGAAUGUAAGGACUCUACAGAAUCUCUUUGACAAUCUACUGCAAAUCAUUUCCUGCACAGAAAAUUCAGUACAUGCUUCUAUGAAUAUCUGCAAUACAAGAUUUGUUCUUAUAUGUUGGCCUGCCGAUGGGUAUUGGCAGCCUUGCAUGCAUGUUUUUAAAAUACUUAAUCCAAGCGCCACUUCUGUAGUAAAUAAGCUGAACUUUUAUUUAAAUAACUAAAUGUUGGUUUGCCGAAGUUUUCUUGUGACUGAAUUAUGGAACUUCCAUUGUGCAGUUUUUACAUAUGGUCAUGCAGUCAUUUUGGCUAUUUAUGUAACAAUACAUUGUCCAGUUUGCAAGACGUUCUGUCUAUAGGUUCUUCUGUACUUAUCUUGUGUUUAACAGGUUUGACUGUUGUUCCUCUACUAUACAACUUCAUCUUUUAGUAUCGACCAAUACUUCAUAGUCAGUACAUGGUUCUUCAAUACUGUGGUAACAAUUGAGGGGAAUAUUAUGAUUCUCUAGGCUUUAUGUUAUCUUACCAUACUAUCCAAUAAAAAUGAUUCUCUUCUUCAAUACCUGUCUAACCACCUCUGAUAUGUUAUUUGUUGGCUUAGCCUGUACUCUAGAGAGGUGUCGAGUUGUGAUGCAAGGUUUUGCCAUGUUGAUUAAAAGAUAUCGACAUCGAAGACUAUAUACUCGGAUCGCAUGGCAUGUUUAGGAACCAUGGCUCUACUACUACUACACAUCCACUUGCCAUUGUAGUCAUCAACUGAAAUUUAGUCAAAAUCGAUAUUUGUAAGUUGAAAAUUUCUUUUUGGCGGGCUAAAAGGACAGAAGUUUUGAGUGGGAACAGAUUGUUGUUAUUUAAGGCCAAUUAUUGUUGUUGAGUCACUUCCUCUUUCUCUUGCUGGUAUGCGGUUAUCCAUAUGAUAGCUGGUAUUGAAAAUGCAACUACCUAACCCAAGCUCAGCAAGCAUUAACUAAUUUUUGUCUUCAUA
Triticum aestivum (bread wheat) is the source of this 2435-nucleotide long non-coding RNA. RefSeq lists it as uncharacterized. The record is from RefSeq and is a predicted model, not a curated record. NCBI's taxonomy places the organism in Eukaryota, Viridiplantae, Streptophyta, Magnoliopsida, Poales, Poaceae. The transcript has 2 exons.